This 440-nucleotide ribosomal RNA is filed under the name uncultured bacterium. RNAcentral describes it as "partial 16S ribosomal RNA". It matches the Rfam family "Bacterial small subunit ribosomal RNA", at positions 338 to 795 of the family's 1533-position model. The record is from RNAcentral.
CCUACGUGGGGCAGCAGUGGGGAAUAUUGCACAAUGGGGGAAACCCUGAUGCAGCGACGCCGCGUGAGUGAAGAAGUAAUUCGUUAUGUAAAGCUCUAUCAGCAGGGAAGAAAAUGACGGUACCUGAGUAAGAAGCCCCGGCUAACUACGUGCCAGCAGCCGCGGUAAUACGUAGGGGGCAAGCGUUAUCCGGAUUUACUGGGUGUAAAGUGAGCGUAGACGGCAGGGCAAGUCUGGAGUGAAAGGCGGGGGCUCAACCCCCGGACUGCUCUGGAAACUGUACGGCUGGAGUGCAGGAGAGGUAAGUGGAAUUCCUAGUGUAGCGGUGAAAUGCGUAGAUAUUAGGAGGAACACCAGUGGCGAAGGCGGCUUACUGGACUGUAACUGACGUUGAGGCUCGAAAGCGUGGGGAGCAAACAGGAUUAGAUACCCGAGUAGUC